GGAUGUGAGGGCGAUCUGGCUGCGACAUCUGUCACCCCAUUGAUCGCCAGGGUUGAUUCGGCUGAUCUGGCUGGCUAGGCGGGUGUCCCCUUCCUCCCUCACCGCUCCAUGUGCGUCCCUCCCAAAGCUGCGCGCUCGGUCGAAGAGGACGGCCUUCCGCGAAUAGAGACGGACCGGUCUUCGGUCGAGGGUAUACGAGUAGCUGCGCUCCCCUGCUAGAACCUCCAAACAAGCUCUCAAGGUCCAAAGCCUGGCUACAUACAAAGCCUCAAGAACCAAUAACCUGGGAUAGAAUUCUAGACGGAAGGACAAACACAGAUACCCUGUCCUUGGU
RNAcentral lists this small nuclear RNA (334 nucleotides) under Erinaceus europaeus (western European hedgehog). RNAcentral describes it as "7SK RNA". It matches the Rfam family "7SK RNA". From Rfam's summary of the family: 7SK was discovered as an abundant small nuclear RNA in the mid-70s but a possible function has only recently been suggested. Two independent studies have found that 7SK RNA binds the CDK9/cyclin T complex (known as elongation factor P-TEFb). Lineage: Eukaryota; Metazoa; Chordata; Mammalia; Eulipotyphla; Erinaceidae. The record is from Rfam by way of RNAcentral.